Molecule: long non-coding RNA, 896 nt
Organism: Athalia rosae (coleseed sawfly)
Lineage: Eukaryota; Metazoa; Arthropoda; Insecta; Hymenoptera; Athaliidae
Exons: 2
Source: RefSeq, a predicted model, not a curated record
UCUGGGAUGGUGUAACUUGAAUUGCAUAUUUCUAAGAUGCCUCCAGGAACAGGGAAAGUAGAAAAAAUCAUUAUAAAAUCGAAAAAAAUAAGAAAAAAUAGGGAAUAAUUCUGGAAUGACGUUUGCAGGUAUCCUUCUGGAUCAGGGAAGAUUGAGAGAGAUCAUUCAAUUUACAAUCUCUAACGCGUGAUAUUCGGCAACAUGCAGAGAUUGCAGCGUACUCAACUCUCCUUCUCGAAUCUUGAAACAUUUUCUAAACAGUGAACACAAGGAGUGCAAGUUCGGUUUGCCUCAAGUCCAACAGGUUACCUGCAUCUCGGAGUCCUGUACAACAUGGUGCAAUUAUUCAUUGGCUCGAGCAGACCGAGGAAAUUUUAUUCUACGCUUAGAAUACACAGAUUGAACAGGACUCAUACCAUACGCUACCAGUGAACUCAAAGGGGAUCUAUUCUGGGCUGGAAUCCUCCCCGACAAAGACCCGACAAGCUAUAGUUACGUUUCAUCAUAUUUCCUCACCUUCUCUUAUUUUUAUUUUCAGGAGAACAUUGGACAGUCUCCGAAGCGAAGGUGCCACCGCACUUGCAUAGAAAAUACGAGACUAUCCUCGAUGCAUUUACACCACUGGACUAUAUGUAUACAAUAUCCUGUGGCUCGGUGAUUUAAACAUCCAAUCAUAUGUUCCAAGUAAAUAAUUUCGUAGAAAUUAAUGAUAAUGUAUACGUCUCGUAUCUCAGAGAACAAGAAAUAAAUAACAGAAUGUUAAAUGAAAUGAAACUAUCGUCCAUAAUCUUGUAACGCACUAAUCAUAAGUAUACAAAAAUGAAUUUAUAUUGUCCAUUACAAAGUCUCAAUAUGUAUUCUUGACGAUUAAUUUAUUAAUAAAAACUCCCUGUAAC